GAUGAAGAACGCAGCGAAAUGCGAUAAGUAAUGUGAAUUGCAGAAUUCAGUGAAUCAUCGAAUCUUUGAACGCACAUUGCGCCCGCUAGUAUUCUGGCGGGCAUGCCUGUCUGAGCGUCAUUUCAACCCUCAUGCCCCUAGGGCGUGGUGUUGGGGAUCGGCCAAAGCCCGCGAGGGACGGCCGGCCCCUAAAUCUAGUGGCGGACCCGUCGUGGCCUCCUCUGCGAAGUAGUGAUAUUCCGCAUCGGAGAGCGACGAGCCCCUGCCGUUAAACCCCCAACUUUCCAAGGUUGACCUCAGAUCAGGUAGGAAUACCCGCUGAACUUAAGCAUAUCAAUAAGCGGAGGA
This 348-nucleotide unclassified non-coding RNA is filed under the name soil metagenome. RNAcentral's name for it is "partial contains 5.8S ribosomal RNA, internal transcribed spacer 2, and large subunit ribosomal RNA". The stretch from base 1 to 120 matches the Rfam family "5.8S ribosomal RNA", at positions 35 to 154 of the family's 154-position model. The record is from RNAcentral.